ACGCUUGAAAUACGCCGCCGCGCACCGUAUCUAAGGCGUGUCCCGGCAACGGGACUAUGGGCAUAAACGCGCGUGAAAUAAGCGGUUCGGACCCGGGGGCGGUACCCGGCGGCUCCACCAGACAUCCCGUCGUUGGGGGAUCAUGGGGCCGAAACAGGAUCGACGAACGUGUAAAGACGUGGCUUUGUCCCGGUGAGGUACCACCGUUAUCGGUCCGUAAAGCAUAAUUGCCAACGACAAUCGUGCUCCGGUUGCUCUGGCUGCGUAAGCAGUUCGAGGAAUCGAAAUCUAAGCCCUUGCGCCUAGCCGCGUAAGGCGGGGUUCGCAGGCACCUGGCAACAGAAGCCUGCACU
Molecule: transfer-messenger RNA, 353 nt
Filed under: Roseicyclus elongatus DSM 19469
Lineage: Bacteria; Pseudomonadati; Pseudomonadota; Alphaproteobacteria; Rhodobacterales; Roseobacteraceae
Description: Roseibacterium elongatum DSM 19469 Alphaproteobacteria transfer-messenger RNA
Rfam family: Alphaproteobacteria transfer-messenger RNA
About the family: Bacterial tmRNA, also known as 10Sa RNA or SsrA, is named for its dual tRNA and mRNA-like properties. Its role is to liberate the mRNA from a stalled ribosome.
Source: Rfam by way of RNAcentral